UACGGGGGGGGCAAGCGUUGUUCGGAAUUACUGGGCGUAAAGGGCUCGUAGGUGGCCAACUAAGUCGGACGUGAAAUCCCUCAGCUUAACUGGGGAACUGCGUCCGAUACUGGAUGGCUUGAGUUUGGGAGAGGGAUGCGGAAUUCCAGGUGUAGCGGUGAAAUGCGUAGAUAUCUGGAGGAACACCGGUGGCGAAGGCGGCAUCCUGGACCAACACUGACACUGAUGAGCGAAAGCUAGGGGAGCAAACGGG
Molecule: ribosomal RNA, 253 nt
Filed under: uncultured bacterium
Lineage: Bacteria
Description: partial 16S ribosomal RNA
Rfam family: Bacterial small subunit ribosomal RNA
Source: RNAcentral